This is a long non-coding RNA of Archocentrus centrarchus (flier cichlid), 2904 nucleotides long. RefSeq lists it as uncharacterized. The record is from RefSeq and is a predicted model, not a curated record. The transcript is spliced from 4 exons. NCBI's taxonomy places the organism in Eukaryota, Metazoa, Chordata, Actinopteri, Cichliformes, Cichlidae.
CGGAAACAGCUUUGCAGCCAAAGGCUGGCUCUACUGGUUUGUCACAAAUGUCGUCAAGCAAAUUGGCAAAAAACAACGACCGGAAAUGUCGCAAAAAACAGUAACUUCACCGUGAACACGUGACAAGGAAAAACUUCCGCACGCAGUUGAUGUUAAACUAGAGCGAAGGGGACCGAGCUGUUCACAGCAUGCUCGCUGUUGCUGUAAAAUUGAGGCGCAACGUCACGAUGGACGCUUUGACUGGCAGCCGCUGUCACGGAGAAACUUGCGUACCUCCGUUCGGGAAUCGCAGAUGGAGUCGGGGCGCUCAGAGGAAGUCCAGCGGUUACUUUUCAUAUAACCACGGCCGCCUGUUUCAGACUGCCAGCGUGAGGUGGUCUAAUCCGUAAAUGAACGGCUUUUGCUGGCUGUCGGAAAAAGCUUGAGUGUUCAUGAAGUCAGUGCUGUAGUUCAAACACGAGCUCUGCUGCUGGAUGUUCAUACCUGCAGCAGGUAGCUAAUGAAGCGGGUUGUAUUAGGUACCCGCAUGCGUAGAACGAUCAGUUUCGCUACCAUCGAUUCGCCGAAAGAAAGUGUUUUUUUUUCCAGUGCUCAUCAACACUGUGUCACACGGUGAAAGUCAAAGAUGGCCUCAGCUGCUGAUACAACUCCCGUUUUUCCCAGGAAGUCUGAAGACUGAGUUCCUCACACAAGCUGAAGCCCUGAGUGUGAAACUGUCGUAGACUGAGCACUUCCAAAAGAAAACAGAAGGACUGACGCAGGUCCUGGAAGAGUGUCAAAAAUGCCUCAUCUCCCUCUUCGAGCAGCCCCUGACCUUAGUGACAGUUUAAGGGUGGAUUUCUGUGAAAUGGGAGAUAAAUACAGGACCGAGCACAAGGAGAGAGACAGCAGAAAGAAUUUGAUGAUUUUUUUAAAAAAUCGAUUCAUGAAUUACCGGGAACUCGACCUCCCGGGACUGUUUCCGUGGUUAUCAUUUAAUGGAUGUGUUACAGAACUUGGAACGUGAGAAACUUUGCAGGGAAACACAGGCUUAUCAGGAUGAUAAUAAUGAUCAACACAAAACUUUAAAAUAAGAACUUGAUGUGAUGAAGAGGCAGGUUGAUGAUCGAGAGAAAAAAUGAUCAAACCAGAGGAAGUUUCGUUUGGAGAGGAAACAUAUAAAUGAGGACAGAUCCCGCUUACGUAAAUGGGUGGAAAGAAAAAUGCAAAAGUGCAUCAGUGAAGUGCAGACGAGCUGAAAGUGUCUGCAAUGGAGAAUAAUUUUAAUAAGUGUAAGAGCAAACUGAGAAUGGUCAGAGUCCAGCUGCAGAAAUCUUAUUCUUUAAAGAAACAGCCGGUCCUGGUAGUGUCGAUUUGAAUCAUGAUGAUGUGAUAAAGAGAUUAAUGGAUGGAAUAGGGAAGAAACAUGAAACCUCCUUUUCUUGAGAAUGAGCUGGAAAAAUGACGUUCAUGAUUGGAGGACUUGAAUGCUAACCAGAUGUCAGAUUAUGUUCUAACACAAAGAGCUGGGAAAACAUGCAUACUGGGUGAGAGAGGCCAGUUUAAGAUCAGGGUCCAGCAGAAAACCCAUCAGAGGCACGCCGCAGACUCUACAGAGUCUUCACUGGUAAAGAGACGAUGGAGAGUUGCCUUCUAAAAAGAUGUGCUUGCAGUAAGUGAAAGAACUGACAUCAGAGCUCCACCAACUCCAGGGUAAAAUAUUAUACUGGAUCAUCUGUUAGUUUAAUGAAGCCUUGUCUUUUUUAACAGACGUUCCACGUCAGUCAUCAGCAGAAUGUGUCCUGGACCGUGAACGUGUGUCUCUGCUGCUUUCUGAUAGGCUGGGUUGGGUGUUCCUCCCCUUGUGGGUGGAGCUACACUCCCCUGCUGCUGUCAGAUGCACCUGAGCUUCACGAAGCCCCAUCAGGCUCCUUUGCUCCUCGCCAGAGAGUCAGCAUCCCUUUAUGUUCACUUCCCCCACCUGCGCGUUUGGACUUGCCUGCCUGCUCUCCCAGAAGCCUUGUACUCUGGAAUUUCUCCAGCACCUUACCUCCUCCCAGGAACAGACUCAUUUGGCAAGAACGUCCCUGUGGACCCAGCACCAGUUCCAGACCCUCCUGUGUCUGCUGAUCCAGUUGAUCCAGUGCCUCAGGCUUAUGAUUUUCUAGGUUUUCUUUGAUAAGAAAAAUGUUUUGUAUAGGUCAUUAGUGAGACUGCUGAGCACAGUAUUGUGUUGCUUUUUGUUUUCAUACCUGCGUCUGCUCGCAGCCUCGAUGUUUCGAGUUCACCUUCUAACAAUACCUUAGGAGUGUUGUGGAGUAGUGGAUUUACUUCCUCACGUCAGACAGAUUUUAGUUUUGCCAGCUUCACAGCAGCUCUGGCUUUGUUUAAAAUAAAGACUCUGGAUUUGAACACCUGACUCCUCCGCGUCCGAGUGUUCGGCCUCGAUGGCGUCUGACAAGAACGUUAGAUUGGAAGAAUGUAUGAGAACCUCAGAACAGGAAAAGACCAGCUUUAAGGGAUCUCUGUGGUCACAGGAGCGUCCCUCAGAGUCACACCUCAUCCUGCAUGUCCUCUCUUUAUGCUGAAUGCACUUAUUUAAUACUGGAGUCAGUUUGUAGUAACUGCAAACUUCAAGAUCUUGACCGAGGGGUCCGUGGAGGUACAGUUGUUUGUAUACAGAGAAAAGUGCAGUGGUGAGAGGACACAACCCUGUGGAGCGCCUGUACUGAUAGUCUGGGUGUUUGAGGUGAAUUUUCCCAACCUCACCUGCUGCUCUCUGCCAGUGAGGAAGUUGGUGAUCCACUGGAGGGACCAAGUGGGACUUGGCACGCCGAGUUGGAGUAAUUUGUUAUGUAGUUGUCCUGGGAUAAUUGUAUUCAAAGCUGAACUGAAAUCUAAAAAUAAAAUUCUUACAUAUGUUCC